ACACUAUCAUUAACUGAAUCCAUAGGUUAAUGAGGCGAACCGGGGGAACUGAAACAUCUAAGUACCCCGAGGAAAAGAAAUCAACCGAGAUUCCCCCAGUAGCGGCGAGCGAACGGGGAGGAGCCCAGAGCCUGAAUCAGUGUGUGUGUUAGUGGAAGCGUCUGGAAAGGCGCGCGAUACAGGGUGACAGCCCCGUACACAAAAAUGCACAUACUGUGAGCUCGAUGAGUAGGGCGGGACACGUGGUAUCCUGUCUGAAUAUGGGGGGACCAUCCUCCAAGGCUAAAUACUCCUGACUGACCGAUAGUGAACCAGUACCGUGAGGGAAAGGCGAAAAGAACCCCGGCGAGGGGAGUGAAAAAGAACCUGAAACCGUGUACGUACAAGCAGUGGGAGCCUCUUAAUGGGGUGACUGCGUACCUUUUGUAUAAUGGGUCAGCGACUUAUAUUCUGUAGCAAGGUUAACCGAAUAGGGGAGCCGAAGGGAAACCGAGUCUUAACUGGGCGUUAAGUUGCAGGGUAUAGACCCGAAACCCGGUGAUCUAGCCAUGGGCAGGUUGAAGGUUGGGUAACACUAACUGGAGGACCGAACCGACUAAUGUUGAAAAAUUAGCGGAUGACUUGUGGCUGGGGGUGAAAGGCCAAUCAAACCGGGAGAUAGCUGGUUCUCCCCGAAAGCUAUUUAGGUAGCGCCUCGUGAAUUCAUCUCCGGGGGUAGAGCACUGUUUCGGCAAGGGGGUCAUCCCGACUUACCAACCCGAUGCAAACUGCGAAUACCGGAGAAUGUUAUCACGGGAGACACACGGCGGGUGCUAACGUCCGUCGUGAAGAGGGAAACAACCCAGACCGCCAGCUAAGGUCCCAAAGUCAUGGUUAAGUGGGAAACGAUGUGGGAAGGCCCAGACAGCCAGGAUGUUGGCUUAGAAGCAGCCAUCAUUUAAAGAAAGCGUAAUAGCUCACUGGUCGAGUCGGCCUGCGCGGAAGAUGUAACGGGGCUAAACCAUGCACCGAAGCUGCGGCAGCGACACUAUGUGUUGUUGGGUAGGGGAGCGUUCUGUAAGCCUGUGAAGGUGGCCUGUGAGGGUUGCUGGAGGUAUCAGAAGUGCGAAUGCUGACAUAAGUAACGAUAAAGCGGGUGAAAAGCCCGCUCGCCGGAAGACCAAGGGUUCCUGUCCAACGUUAAUCGGGGCAGGGUGAGUCGACCCCUAAGGCGAGGCCGAAAGGCGUAGUCGAUGGGAAACAGGUUAAUAUUCCUGUACUUGGUGUUACUGCGAAGGGGGGACGGAGAAGGCUAUGUUGGCCGGGCGACGGUUGUCCCGGUUUAAGCGUGUAGGCUGGUUUUCCAGGCAAAUCCGGAAAAUCAAGGCUGAGGCGUGAUGACGAGGCACUACGGUGCUGAAGCGACAAAUGCCCUGCUUCCAGGAAAAGCCUCUAAGCAUCAGGUAACAUUAAAUCGUACCCCAAACCGACACAGGUGGUCAGGUAGAGAAUACCAAGGCGCUUGAGAGAACUCGGGUGAAGGAACUAGGCAAAAUGGUGCCGUAACUUCGGGAGAAGGCACGCUGAUAUGUAGGUGAAGCGACUUGCUCGUGGAGCUGAAAUCAGUCGAAGAUACCAGCUGGCUGCAACUGUUUAUUAAAAACACAGCACUGUGCAAACACGAAAGUGGACGUAUACGGUGUGACGCCUGCCCGGUGCCGGAAGGUUAAUUGAUGGGGUUAGCGGCAACGCGAAGCUCUUGAUCGAAGCCCCGGUAAACGGCGGCCGUAACUAUAACGGUCCUAAGGUAGCGAAAUUCCUUGUCGGGUAAGUUCCGACCUGCACGAAUGGCGUAAUGAUGGCCAGGCUGUCUCCACCCGAGACUCAGUGAAAUUGAACUCGCUGUGAAGAUGCAGUGUACCCGCGGCAAGACGGAAAGACCCCGUGAACCUUUACUAUAGCUUGACACUGAACAUUGAGCCUUGAUGUGUAGGAUAGGUGGGAGGCUUUGAAGUGUGGACGCCAGUCUGCAUGGAGCCGACCUUGAAAUACCACCCUUUAAUGUUUGAUGUUCUAACGUGGGCCCCUAAUCCGGGUUGCGGACAGUGUCUGGUGGGUAGUUUGACUGGGGCGGUCUCCUCCUAAAGAGUAACGGAGGAGCACGAAGGUUGGCUAAUCCUGGUCGGACAUCAGGAGGUUAGUGCAAUGGCAUAAGCCAGCUUGACUGCGAGCGUGACGGCGCGAGCAGGUGCGAAAGCAGGUCAUAGUGAUCCGGUGGUUCUGAAUGGAAGGGCCAUCGCUCAACGGAUAAAAGGUACUCCGGGGAUAACAGGCUGAUACCGCCCAAGAGUUCAUAUCGACGGCGGUGUUUGGCACCUCGAUGUCGGCUCAUCACAUCCUGGGGCUGAAGUAGGUCCCAAGGGUAUGGCUGUUCGCCAUUUAAAGUGGUACGCGAGCUGGGUUUAGAACGUCGUGAGACAGUUCGGUCCCUAUCUGCCGUGGGCGCUGGAGAACUGAGGGGGGCUGCUCCUAGUACGAGAGGACCGGAGUGGACGCAUCACUGGUGUUCGGGUUGUCAUGCCAAUGGCACUGCCCGGUAGCUAAAUGCGGAAGAGAUAAGUGCUGAAAGCAUCUAAGCACGAAACUUGCCCCGAGAUGAGUUCUCCCUGACCCUUUAAGGGUCCUGAAGGAACGUUGAAGACGACGACGUUGAUAGGCCGGGUGUGUAAGCGCAGCGAUGCGUUGAGCUAACCGGUACUAAUGAACCGUGAGGCUUAACCUU
Molecule: ribosomal RNA, 2761 nt
Filed under: Escherichia coli
Lineage: Bacteria; Pseudomonadati; Pseudomonadota; Gammaproteobacteria; Enterobacterales; Enterobacteriaceae
Description: bacterial LSU rRNA
Rfam family: Bacterial large subunit ribosomal RNA
Source: RNAcentral